This 224-nucleotide ribosomal RNA is filed under the name uncultured bacterium. RNAcentral's name for it is "partial 16S ribosomal RNA". It matches the Rfam family "Bacterial small subunit ribosomal RNA", at positions 524 to 747 of the family's 1533-position model. The record is from RNAcentral.
UACGUAGGGUGCAAGCGUUAAUCGGAAUUACUGGGCGUAAAGCGUGCGCAGGCGGUUUUGUAAGUCUGACGUGAAAUCCCCGGGCUCAACCUGGGAAUUGCGUUGGAGACUGCAAGGCUAGAAUCUGGCAGAGGGGGGGUAGAAUUCCACGUGUAGCAGUGAAAUGCGUAGAGAUGUGGAGGAACACCGAUGGCGAAGGCAGCCCCCUGGUCAAGAUUGACGCU